GAUACCUACGGGGGGCAGCAGUGGGGAAUAUUGCACAAUGGGGGGAACCCUGAUGCAGCGACGCCGCGUGGGUGAGGAAGUACUUCGGUAUGUAAAGCCCUAUCAGCAGGGAAGAAAAUGACGGUACCUGACUAAGAAGCCCCGGCUAACUACGUGCCAGCAGCCGCGGUAAUACGUAGGGGGCAAGCGUUAUCCGGAUUUACUGGGUGUAAAGGGAGCGUAGACGGCGUGCCAAGUCAGAAGUGAAAGCCCAGGGCUCAACUCUGGGACUGCUUUUGAAACUGCCGGGCUGGAGUGCAGGAGAG
RNAcentral lists this ribosomal RNA (305 nucleotides) under uncultured bacterium. RNAcentral describes it as "bacterial SSU rRNA". It matches the Rfam family "Bacterial small subunit ribosomal RNA", at positions 334 to 656 of the family's 1533-position model. The record is from RNAcentral.